This 604-nucleotide unclassified non-coding RNA is filed under the name Hevea brasiliensis (rubber tree). Lineage: Eukaryota; Viridiplantae; Streptophyta; Magnoliopsida; Malpighiales; Euphorbiaceae. The record is from RNAcentral.
CUUUCACAUUGUCUGUGACACAGUGGCGGACAAAGUUUAGGAAGGCCAUGAAUAAAGCGGACAAUGAUGCCAAUACAAGAGCAAUAGAUUCUCUAAUCAAUUAUGAGACUGUCAAAUAUUUCAACAACGAAGCUUUUGAAGCUGACAAAUAUGACGAGUUCUUAAAGAGGUAUGAAGGUGCAGCGUUAAAAACACAACGAAGUCUUGCAUUUCUUAAUUUUGGCCAAAAUGUGAUAUUUAGCUCAGCUUUAUCAAUAGCUAUGGUUUUAUGUUCCCAUGGGAUCAUGAAUGGCCAAAUGACAGUUGGUGAUUUGGUUAUGGUGAAUGGGCUACUCUUCCAGCUAUCCCUCCCCCUCAAUUUCCUCGGCAGUGUUUAUCGUGAGACCAUACAGAGUCUUGUUGACAUGAAGUCAAUGUUUCAAUUACUUGAGGAGAGAGCUGAUAUUAGAGAUAAAGAUGUUGCAAAGCCUCUUAAGUUAAAUCGGGGUAGCAUACAGUUUGAGAACGUGCACUUCAGUUACUUGGUGGAAAGAAAGAUUCUUGAUGGCAUAUCUUUUGUUGUACCAGCUGGAAAAAGUGUGGCUAUUGUUGGGACAAGUGGCAG